RNAcentral lists this ribosomal RNA (360 nucleotides) under Bacillus amyloliquefaciens. RNAcentral describes it as "bacterial SSU rRNA". It matches the Rfam family "Bacterial small subunit ribosomal RNA", at positions 419 to 770 of the family's 1533-position model. The record is from RNAcentral. Lineage: Bacteria; Bacillati; Bacillota; Bacilli; Caryophanales; Bacillaceae.
CGGAUCGUAAAGCUCUGUUGUUAGGGAAGAACAAGUGCCGUUCAAAUAGGGCGGCACCUUGACGGUACCUAACCAGAAAGCCACGGCUAACUACGUGCCAGCAGCCGCGGUAAUACGUAGGUGGCAAGCGUUGUCCGGAAUUAUUGGGCGUAAAGGGCUCGCAGGCGGUUUCUUAAGUCUGAUGUGAAAGCCCCCGGCUCAACCGGGGAGGGUCAUUGGAAACUGGGGAACUUGAGUGCAGAAGAGGAGAGUGGAAUUCCACGUGUAGCGGUGAAAUGCGUAGAGAUGUGGAGGAACACCAGUGGCGAAGGCGACUCUCUGGUCUGUAACUGACGCUGAGGAGCGAAAGCGUGGGGAGCG